This 408-nucleotide ribosomal RNA is filed under the name Isochrysis sp. RCC1956. Its description in RNAcentral is "SSU rRNA". It matches the Rfam family "Eukaryotic small subunit ribosomal RNA", at positions 701 to 1107 of the family's 1831-position model. Lineage: Eukaryota; Haptophyta; Isochrysidales; Isochrysidaceae. The record is from RNAcentral.
UUCCGGAGACCGCGCCUCCUCUUAACUGAGCGGGCGUGGGAGACGGAUCGUUUACUUUGAAAAAAUCAGAGUGUUUCAAGCAGGCAGCUCGCUCUUGCAUGGAUUAGCAUGGGAUAAUGAAAUAGGACUCUGGUGCUAUUUUGUUGGUUUCGAACACCGGAGUAAUGGUCAACAGGGACAGUCAGGGGCACUCGUAUUCCGCCGAGAGAGGUGAAAUUCUCAGACCAGCGGAAGACGAACCACUGCGAAAGCAUUUGCCAGGGAUGUUUUCACUGAUCAAGAACGAAAGUUAGGGGAUCGAAGACGAUCAGAUACCGUCGUAGUCUUAACCAUAAACCAUGCCGACUAGGGAUUGGAGGCUGUUCCUUUAGUGACUCCUUCAGCACCUUUCGGGAAACUAAAAGUCUU